Molecule: small nucleolar RNA, 106 nt
Filed under: Gossypium hirsutum (cotton)
Lineage: Eukaryota; Viridiplantae; Streptophyta; Magnoliopsida; Malvales; Malvaceae
Description: Plant small nucleolar RNA R71
Rfam family: Plant small nucleolar RNA R71
About the family: R71 is a member of the C/D box family of snoRNAs containing the C (UGAUGA) and D (CUGA) box motifs.
Source: Rfam by way of RNAcentral
AUUCCAUGAUGAGGGCACUUUUGUGAUAAUUCUUUGUACCUUUCUCAUGCCUCAUACAAGGACUCAUCAUCCAUUUGUUGGAAGGUAGUGAUCUCAUCCUCAACUU